CCUUCGAUAGCUCAGUUGGUAGAGCGGAGGACUGUAGGUGGGAUGAUGGCAAUCUUAGGUCGCUGGUUCGACUCCGGCUUGAAGGA
RNAcentral lists this transfer RNA (86 nucleotides) under Danio rerio (zebrafish). It matches the Rfam family "tRNA". Rfam says of the family: Transfer RNA (tRNA) molecules are approximately 80 nucleotides in length. Their secondary structure includes four short double-helical elements and three loops (D, anti-codon, and T loops). The record is from Rfam by way of RNAcentral. Lineage: Eukaryota; Metazoa; Chordata; Actinopteri; Cypriniformes; Danionidae.